Molecule: ribosomal RNA, 1350 nt
Filed under: uncultured bacterium
Lineage: Bacteria
Description: bacterial SSU rRNA
Rfam family: Bacterial small subunit ribosomal RNA
Source: RNAcentral
GAACGAACGCUGGCGGCAUGGAUUAGGCAUGCAAGUCGAACGGUCGUAGCAAUACGAUAGUGGCGAAAGGGUGAGGAACGCGUGAGUAACCUGCCCCCAAGUUGGGAAUAACAGUUGGAAACGACUGCUAAUACCCGAUGUGAUCAUACGAAGGCAUCUUUGGAUGAUUAAAGAUUUAUUGCUUGGGGAUGGGCUCGCGUCCCAUUAGGUAGUUGGUGAGGUAACGGCUCACCAAGCCUGCGAUGGGUAGCUGGUCUGAGAGGAUGGUCAGCCACACUGGGACUGAGACACUGCCCAGACCCCUACGGGAGGCUGCAGUCGAGAAUCUUCCGCAAUGCGCGAAAGCGUGACGGAGCAAUGCCGCGUGCCGGAUGAAGGUCUUCGGAUCGUAAACGGCUGUCAGAUGUGACGAAUAAAUGACGGUAGCAUCAAAGGAAGCCACGGCUAACUACGUGCCAGCAGCCGCGGUAAUACGUAGGUGGCGAGCGUUGUUCGGAUWUWUUKGGCGUAAAGGGUCCGUAGGAGGUUGAUUAAAUUUGGGGUGAAAUUCCGGAGCUCAACUCCGGAACUGCCUUGAAGACUGAUCAACUAGAGUAUCGGAGAGGUAAGCGGAAUUCCAGGUGUAGCGGGUGGAAUGCUUAGAUAUCUGGAAGAACACCGAAAGCGAAGGCAGCUUACUGGACGGUAACUGACUCUCAUGGACGAAAGCGUGGGGGAGCAAACAGGAUUAGAUACCCUGGUAGUCCACGCCGUAAACGUUGUGAACUUGGUGUGGGGGGAAUUAGUCCCCUCCGUACCGAAGCUAACGCGAUAAGUUCACCGCCUGGGGACUACGGCCGCAAGGCUAAAACUCAAAGGAAUUGACGGGGGCCCGCACAAGCGGUGGAGCAUGUGGCUUAAUUCGAGGCAACGCGAAGAACCUUACCCGGGCUUGAAAUAUAACGGCUCGCCGGUGAAAGCCGGUUUUCCUUCGGGACUGUUAUACAGGUGCUGCAUGGCUGUCGUCAGCUCGUGCCGUGAGGUGUUCGGUUAAGUCCGGCAACGAGCGCAACCCGUGUCAUCAGUUGCCAGCAGGUAAAGCUGGGGACUCUGAUGAGACUGCCCGUGUUAAGCGGGAGGAAGGCGCGGAUGACGUCAAGUCAGUAUGGCCCUUAUGUCCGGGGCUGCACACGUGCUACAAUGGUCGGUACAAUGAGACGCGAAGUCGCGAGGCGGAGCAAAUCUAUAAAACCGGCCUUAGUUCAGAUUGCAGUCUGCAACUCGACUGCAUGAAGUUGGAAUCGCUAGUAAAGGCGUAUCAGCUACGACGCCUUGAAUACGUUCCCGGGCCUUGUACACACCGCCCGUCAC